UACGGAGGGUGCAAGCGUUAAUCGGAAUUACUGGGCGUAAAGCGCACGCAGGUGGCUGAGUCAGUCGAUUGUGAAAGCCCUGGGCUUAACCUGGGAAUUGCAUUCGAGACUGAAUAGCUAGGGUACGGUAGAGGGAAGCGGAAUUUCCGGUGUAGCGGUGAAAUGCGUAGAUAUCGGAAGGAACAUCAGUGGCGAAAGCGGGUCUCUGGGCAACAACUGACGCUGAGGAGCGAAAGCGUGGGGAGCGAACAGG
RNAcentral lists this ribosomal RNA (253 nucleotides) under uncultured bacterium. RNAcentral's name for it is "partial 16S ribosomal RNA". It matches the Rfam family "Bacterial small subunit ribosomal RNA", at positions 524 to 776 of the family's 1533-position model. The record is from RNAcentral.